CAGGGCUAUUAGCUCAGUUGGUUAGAGUAUGCUCCUGAUAAGGGUAUGGCCGUUGGUUCAAAUCCAACAUAGCCCAAAAAUAGGGAAUAUAGCUCAAUUUGGUAGAGUGUUGCUUUUGCACAGCGAAGGUUAGCGGUUCAAACCCGCUUAUUUCCAUAAAAAUAAUUGCAUAGAGUAGAAUCCUAGGUAUCUAGAGUCGAAGAAGGGCGUUUUAUGAUUACGAUAAGCUUAAAAUAUAGAUAAUUUUAAGAUCCCCUAAUAGGAUAACCUAAAAAAAAUUUUGAAAUAAAUUUUUUUUAUUUUCUUUUAAAUUCAUAAAAAAGAAAAUGGUAACUCAGUGAACUGAAUCAUCUUAGUAACUGAUGGAAAAGAAAGCAACAGCGAUUUCCUUAGUAGUGGUGAGCGAAAAGGAAACAGUCUAAAAAAAGAUUUCUAUUUUUUUAUUUAUGAAAUAAUUAAUCAUUAUGCCAAAGAUGGUAUUAGCCCAGUAAUUAAAUAAAAUAAUAACACUUUAAAUCUUUUUUGUAAAGUAGUAUGGAAGAUAAUCCGUAUGAAAAUAUAAGGACCACCUUAUAAGACUAAAUACUCCUAGAUAACCGAUAGUGAACUAGUACCGUGAGGG
RNAcentral lists this ribosomal RNA (622 nucleotides) under Prototheca zopfii. RNAcentral describes it as "partial 23S ribosomal RNA". The stretch from base 152 to 622 matches the Rfam family "Bacterial large subunit ribosomal RNA", at positions 1 to 509 of the family's 2925-position model. Lineage: Eukaryota; Viridiplantae; Chlorophyta; Trebouxiophyceae; Chlorellales; Chlorellaceae. The record is from RNAcentral.